CAAAAAGCGCAAUUUUUUGGUGUGAACACAACAAGACCAGUUACUCACUGAAGCUAAGCAGGGCUGAGCCUGGUUAGUACCUGGAUAGGAGACCACACGGGAAAACUAGGUUACUUUUGGA
Molecule: ribosomal RNA, 121 nt
Organism: Danio rerio (zebrafish)
Lineage: Eukaryota; Metazoa; Chordata; Actinopteri; Cypriniformes; Danionidae
Source: Ensembl